AGUGAACGCUGGCGGUAGGCCUAACACAUGCAAGUCGAACGGCAGCACAGUAAGAGCUUGCUCUUACGGGUGGCGAGUGGCGGACGGGUGAGGAAUACAUCGGAAUCUACUUUUUCGUGGGGGAUAACGUAGGGAAACUUACGCUAAUACCGCAUACGACCUACGGGUGAAAGCAGGGGAUCUUCGGACCUUGCGCGAUUGAAUGAGCCGAUGUCGGAUUAGCUAGUUGGCGGGGUAAAGGCCCACCAAGGCGACGAUCCGUAGCUGGUCUGAGAGGAUGAUCAGCCACACUGGAACUGAGACACGGUCCAGACUCCUACGGGAGGCAGCAGUGGGGAAUAUUAGACAAUGGGCGGAAGCCUGGUCCAGCCAUACCGCGUGGGUGAAGAAAGCCUUCGGGUUGUAAAGCCCUUUUGUUGGGAAAGAAAAGCAGCAGGUUAAUACCCCGCUGUUCUGACGGUACCCAAAGAAUAAGCACCGGCUAACUUCGUG
RNAcentral lists this ribosomal RNA (492 nucleotides) under uncultured bacterium. RNAcentral describes it as "partial 16S ribosomal RNA". It matches the Rfam family "Bacterial small subunit ribosomal RNA", at positions 29 to 507 of the family's 1533-position model. The record is from RNAcentral.